This 561-nucleotide ribosomal RNA is filed under the name Parawiesneriomyces chiayiensis. RNAcentral's name for it is "SSU rRNA". It matches the Rfam family "Eukaryotic small subunit ribosomal RNA", at positions 87 to 651 of the family's 1831-position model. The record is from RNAcentral. Lineage: Eukaryota; Fungi; Ascomycota; Dothideomycetes; Tubeufiales; Wiesneriomycetaceae.
CUGCGAAUGGCUCAUUAAAUCAGUUAUCGUUUAUUUGAUAGUACCUUACUACUUGGAUAACCGUGGUAAUUCUAGAGCUAAUACAUGCUAAAAACCCCGACUUCGGAAGGGGUGUAUUUAUUAGAUAAAAAACCAAUGCCCUUCGGGGCUCCUUGGUGAUUCAUAAUAACUCAACGAAUCGCAUGGCCUUGCGCCGGCGAUGGUUCAUUCAAAUUUCUGCCCUAUCAACUUUCGAUGGUAGGAUAGUGGCCUACCAUGGUAUCAACGGGUAACGGGGAAUUAGGGUUCUAUUCCGGAGAGGGAGCCUGAGAAACGGCUACCACAUCCAAGGAAGGCAGCAGGCGCGCAAAUUACCCAAUCCCGACGCGGGGAGGUAGUGACAAUAAAUACUGAUACAGGGCUCUUUUGGGUCUUGUAAUUGGAAUGAGUACAAUUUAAAUCCCUUAACGAGGAACAAUUGGAGGGCAAGUCUGGUGCCAGCAGCCGCGGUAAUUCCAGCUCCAAUAGCGUAUAUUAAAGUUGUUGCAGUUAAAAAGCUCGUAGUUGAACCUUGGGUCUGGC